Gadus chalcogrammus (walleye pollock) is the source of this 742-nucleotide long non-coding RNA. RefSeq lists it as uncharacterized. The record is from RefSeq and is a predicted model, not a curated record. The transcript is spliced from 5 exons. NCBI's taxonomy places the organism in Eukaryota, Metazoa, Chordata, Actinopteri, Gadiformes, Gadidae.
AGGGCUAAGAAAAAAAAGGAGUCCUCCACAAGCCCCUGCUUUCCCCACCUGCUUUUAGAUCAUCACAGCAGGACAUACAUAAAGUUGCUGCCCACACAUCAGCUGCUCUUGAACAGGCCUCUGCCCAGAUCUCUGGCAACAUUCAAAGUCAAUUCGAACGGGAUCAUGCACUCCUGCGUGCUGUGGAGGAGUUGAAGGCCUUGGCAGCACACCUUAGUGCGCUUGGGGGCUGCAAUCCUGGUGACGCGGUUCGAAGAAUCCUUCGCCACAUCCUCACCAACCACUUCGCGCUGAAAUUCAACUGGCUUGGCAGAGGAGGGAAGAAGCUGGCUUUUGCCUCCUACAAGGUGUGCAAUGCAGUAAGAGGUGCAUCGGCUAGCCAGAACAUUUCGGCCAGCGACUGCGAGGCAAUUAUUAAAAACUGGCUGAAGUGCAGCGGUGACCGGAGUGGAGGAAGAAAGAGGAGAGAAAGCAGAGUGCAUGAAGGUAUGCAUGAACAGCAAACCAUCAAAUACUGGAAAUGAGACUUACAUAGCUUUGCCUUGAAGCGUUUGAGGGGCAAGAGGGAUGUGCUGAACCUUUUACAGUUUGAUGGAGCUUUACCUAACAUGGAAUUUAAAAGUUAUUCUUCAAGGUGUUUGAUUUCCUGUUGAACCAGACCCUGAAAUCCACCAUCCUAGUGCACCUUUAAGUAAUUUACUAGUAAAUAAAUCCAGAUAGACUAUUUACAACACAAUGGAGA